This 253-nucleotide ribosomal RNA is filed under the name uncultured bacterium. RNAcentral's name for it is "partial 16S ribosomal RNA". It matches the Rfam family "Bacterial small subunit ribosomal RNA", at positions 524 to 776 of the family's 1533-position model. The record is from RNAcentral.
UACGUAGGGGGCAAGCGUUGUCCGGAUUUAUUGGGCGUAAAGAGCGUGUAGGCGGCUGGGUAGGUCCGUUGUGAAAACUCGAGGCUCAACCUCGAGACGUCGAUGGAAACCAUCUGGCUAGAGUCCGGAAGAGGAGAGUGGAAUUCCUGGUGUAGCGGUGAAAUGCGCAGAUAUCAGGAAGAACACCCGUGGCGAAGGCGGUUCUCUGGGACGGUACUGACGCUGAGACGCGAAAGCGUGGGGAGCGAACAGG